GAGAGUCUGUUCAUUUCCUGUUGCUGACUUUCUGGUGGGGAAGAUGAAUAUGAUCAGGAGUGGUACAAUUCUGUAGUGGUCCUUGUAUAAAUCAGCCCACACAGCCAUUGUUUACAAUAGAAUUCGCUACCAGCAUUAUCUUUGGUGUAAGAUCUGGAGUACCAAUGGAUCUGAGGAAUAGAACCAAGGAGUCUUGAUCCCAACUUAUUGUUGCUGUCUGCCAGG
Chelonia mydas (Green sea turtle) is the source of this 225-nucleotide long non-coding RNA. RefSeq lists it as uncharacterized. The record is from RefSeq and is a predicted model, not a curated record. Lineage: Eukaryota; Metazoa; Chordata; Testudines; Cheloniidae. The transcript has 3 exons.